AUUGCAGGCUGCAACCCGCCCUGUAUGAAGUUGGAAUCGCUAGUAAUCGCGGAUCAGCAUGCCGCGGUGAAUACGUUCCCGGGCCUUGUACACACCGCCCGUCACACCAUGAGAGUCGGGAACACCCGAAGUCCGUAGCCUAACCGCAAGGGGGCGCGGCCGAAGGUGGGUUCGAUAAUUGGGGUGAAGUCGUAACAAGGUAAC
RNAcentral lists this ribosomal RNA (204 nucleotides) under uncultured bacterium. Its description in RNAcentral is "partial 16S ribosomal RNA". It matches the Rfam family "Bacterial small subunit ribosomal RNA", at positions 1297 to 1500 of the family's 1533-position model. The record is from RNAcentral.